This 342-nucleotide ribosomal RNA is filed under the name Triticum aestivum (bread wheat). RNAcentral describes it as "partial small subunit ribosomal RNA". Lineage: Eukaryota; Viridiplantae; Streptophyta; Magnoliopsida; Poales; Poaceae. The record is from RNAcentral.
AUGAAUGGAUACUCUGAGAUAGAACGAGAAAAAGCAAAUUUGAUUAAUGCUACUUCUAUUAGUUUGGAACAAUUGGAAAAGUCUAAAAAUGAAACCCUUUAUUUUGAAAAACAAAGGGCAAUGAAUCAGGUCCGACAGCGGGUUCUCCAACAGGCCGUACAAGGAGCGAAGCAUCUUAAUCUUAAGUUUCCUGUUUAUCAAAGAAAAAUUCCAUUAUCAGCUCACUCUUCAUCAAUCCCUCUGGAUCGAUCUAGCAAUCAUGGAAUCUAUAUUCUGUUUACUCGAUCAGAUGUGCUUUGCUCAGGACUCCCAUUUUACCAUUGCUUAAGCCAUAUUACAUAA